This 254-nucleotide ribosomal RNA is filed under the name uncultured bacterium. Its description in RNAcentral is "partial 16S ribosomal RNA". It matches the Rfam family "Bacterial small subunit ribosomal RNA", at positions 524 to 776 of the family's 1533-position model. The record is from RNAcentral.
UACGGAGGGUGCGAGCGUUGUCCGGAAUCAUUGGGCGUAAAGGGCGCGUAGGUGGCCCGGUCAGUUCGUGGUGAAAGCGCGGGGCUCAACCCUGCGUCGGCCAUGAAUACUGCCGCGGCUGGAGCACUGUAGAGGCAGGCGGAAUUCCGGGUGUAGCGGUGGAAUGCGUAGAGAUCCGGAAGAACACCGGUGGCGAAGGCGGUUCUCUGGGCAUUACCUGACGCUGAGGAGCGAAAGUGUGGGGAGCGAACAGG